This 228-nucleotide ribosomal RNA is filed under the name uncultured Pseudomonas sp. RNAcentral describes it as "partial 16S ribosomal RNA". It matches the Rfam family "Bacterial small subunit ribosomal RNA", at positions 125 to 354 of the family's 1533-position model. Lineage: Bacteria; Pseudomonadati; Pseudomonadota; Gammaproteobacteria; Pseudomonadales; Pseudomonadaceae. The record is from RNAcentral.
UCUGCCUGGUAGUGGGGGACGAACGUUUCGAAAGGAACGCUAAUACCGCAUACGUCCUACGGGAGAAAGCAGGGACCUUCGGGCCUUGCGCUAUCAGAUGAGCCUAGGUCGGAUUAGCUAGUUGGUGAGGUAAUGGCUCACCAAGGCGACGAUCCGUAACUGGUCUGAGAGGAUGAUCAGUCACACUGGAACUGAGACACGGUCCAGACUCCUACGGGAGGCAGCAGA